UUACAACUAUAUAAGUUCAAUGACGAUUGUUAAAAUUUACCCUAUUAAUUGACAAUCACUAACAGUGCAACAACACUGGAGACCUUUUUUGUCCAUUAAUUGUAAUUCAUCUUUAUAGAAGAUUUUAGCUUGGUCAUUGGAUACCUCAUGAGAGAUAGCCUGAGCUGGUUUGGUAGCCCAAAUAUGGAGUUUAAGGUUUCAAGCUACAUCAUUUGUCCCUCUUUAUCCAAUAGUGUUCCAAGUGCAUUACCCCAAUGUUUUGUAGCAUUGUGUUGCAGUUCCAUGUUCAGUUGCAAAAAUAGUUAACCAAAGAAGGGUAUACUUUUGGAGAAGCUAUUUUGCGGCACAUCUUUUUCUAAAGGUGUAGUGUAGGGCUAUUCAUAUUAGAAAGGCAGUUAGGCACUUGAGGCAAUUGUUUGCCUUUUCUUUGGUUCAUAAGAAGUUGUUCUGUUGUUGCGUCAAGAGGUCCUAAAAGAAGAUUCUUGAUUGCAGAUGCUCGUUCUUUUGCAUUAGAAAGACCAUUAUGAAUUGUAAACCAUAAUAAGCGGUCUCUGAUAUGGUUGGUUUUUGAAAUACAUAGAAAAUUUUGAAUUUAAUCAGUGUUCCCAUGCAUUUAUUCUUAUGGUGUCUCUCUUUGUAUCACUUCUCCAGUUUCAUUUCUUUCCUAUAAUGAAUUGUGCUCUUGUGUUCAUCUAAUAACUUCUAAUACUUUCAUACGGUGCCCCCCUAUACAUCU
This 736-nucleotide unclassified non-coding RNA is filed under the name Hevea brasiliensis (rubber tree). Lineage: Eukaryota; Viridiplantae; Streptophyta; Magnoliopsida; Malpighiales; Euphorbiaceae. The record is from RNAcentral.